RNAcentral lists this ribosomal RNA (887 nucleotides) under uncultured Pseudomonas sp. RNAcentral describes it as "bacterial SSU rRNA". It matches the Rfam family "Bacterial small subunit ribosomal RNA", at positions 35 to 917 of the family's 1533-position model. The record is from RNAcentral. Lineage: Bacteria; Pseudomonadati; Pseudomonadota; Gammaproteobacteria; Pseudomonadales; Pseudomonadaceae.
GCUGGCGGCAGGCCUAACACAUGCAAGUCGAGCGGUAGAGAGGUGCUUGCAUCUCUUGAGAGCGGCGGACGGGUGAGUAAUGCCUAGGAAUCUGCCUAGUGGUGGGGGAUAGCGUUCGGAAACGGACGCUAAUACCGCAUACGUCCUACGGGAGAAAGCGGGGGAUCUUCGGGCCUCGCGCCAUUAGAUGAGCCUAGGUCGGAUUAGCUAGUUGGUGAGGUAAUGGCUCACCAAGGCGACGAUCCGUAACUGGUCUGAGAGGAUGAUCAGUCACACUGGAACUGAGACACGGUCCAGACUCCUACGGGAGGCAGCAGUGGGGAAUAUUGGACAAUGGGCGAAAGCCUGAUCCAGCCAUGCCGCGUGUGUGAAGAAGGUCUUCGGAUUGUAAAGCACUUUAAGUUGGGAGGAAGGGUAGUAACCUAAUACGUUGCUACUUUGACGUUACCGACAGAAUAAGCACCGGCUAACUUCGUGCCAGCAGCCGUGGUAAUACGAAGGGUGCAAGCGUUAAUCGGAAUUACUGGGCGUAAAGCGCGCGUAGGUGGUUCAGCAAGUUGGAUGUGAAAGCCCUGGGCUCAACCUGGGAACUGCAUCCAAAACUACUGAGCUAGAGUACGGUAGAGGGUAGUGGAAUUUCUUGUGUAGCGGUGAAAUGCGUAGAUAUAGGAAGGAACACCAGUGGCGAAGGCGACUACCUGGACUGAUACUGACACUGAGGUGCGAAAGCGUGGGGAGCAAACAGGAUUAGAUACCCUGGUAGUCCACGCCGUAAACGAUGUCGACUAGCCGUUGGGAUCCUUGAGAUCUUAAUGGCGCAGCUAACGCAUUAAGUCGACCGCCUGGGGAGUACGGCCGCAAGGUUAAAACUCAAAUGAAUUGACGGG